RNAcentral lists this long non-coding RNA (253 nucleotides) under Nicotiana benthamiana. RNAcentral's name for it is "long non-coding RNA (NBEN_LNC037077)". Lineage: Eukaryota; Viridiplantae; Streptophyta; Magnoliopsida; Solanales; Solanaceae. The record is from RNAcentral.
ACGGCCUCUUACCAGGUGAUACUGAGGAGGGCCGGACCCUUUUUUUUGUUUGUUUCUCUCUUUACUGUUCAAAGAAGAGGUGGUUUUGUUAAGUGUAUAUGCACUUUUUUUGAGAAAGAAAGGAUAUAAACAUAGUGGUUGUCUAACGAGAUACUAUGCAGAAUAAGAUCUUCAGGUAAGUCACAUAUUGCGCAUUUACUGCUUUCGAAUUUUUGAUCUUGGAUUUAUGCUUUAUCGACUUAUUUCAUAUCAU